AACGAACGCUGGCGGCAGGCCUAACACAUGCAAGUCGAGCGGACCUUUCGGGGUCAGCGGCGGACGGGUGAGUAACGCGUGGGAAUAUGCCCUUCUCUACGGAAUAGUCCUGGGAAACUGGGGGUAAUACCGUAUACGCCCUUUGGGGGAAAGAUUUAUCGGGGAAGGAUUAGCCCGCGUUGGAUUAGGUAGUUGGUGGGGUAAUGGCCUACCAAGCCGACGAUCCAUAGCUGGUUUGAGAGGAUGAUCAGCCACACUGGGACUGAGACACGGCCCAGACUCCUACGGGAGGCAGCAGUGGGGAAUCUUAGACAAUGGGGGCAACCCUGAUCUAGCCAUGCCGCGUGAGUGAUGAAGGCCUUAGGGUUGUAAAGCUCUUUCAGCUGGGAAGAUAAUGACGGUACCAGCAGAAGAAGCCCCGGCGAACUCCGU
This 432-nucleotide ribosomal RNA is filed under the name uncultured bacterium. RNAcentral describes it as "partial 16S ribosomal RNA". It matches the Rfam family "Bacterial small subunit ribosomal RNA", at positions 29 to 506 of the family's 1533-position model. The record is from RNAcentral.